Molecule: ribosomal RNA, 465 nt
Filed under: Vreelandella stevensii
Lineage: Bacteria; Pseudomonadati; Pseudomonadota; Gammaproteobacteria; Oceanospirillales; Halomonadaceae
Description: partial 16S ribosomal RNA
Rfam family: Bacterial small subunit ribosomal RNA
Source: RNAcentral
CCUACGGGUGGCAGCAGUGGGGAAUAUUGGACAAUGGGGGGAACCCUGAUCCAGCCAUGCCGCGUGUGUGAAGAAGGCCCUCGGGUUGUAAAGCACUUUCAGUGAGGAAGAACGCCUGGUGGUUAAUACCCAUCAGGAAAGACAUCACUCACAGAAGAAGCACCGGCUAACUCCGUGCCAGCAGCCGCGGUAAUACGGAGGGUGCGAGCGUUAAUCGGAAUUACUGGGCGUAAAGCGCGCGUAGGUGGCUUGAUAAGCCGGUUGUGAAAGCCCCGGGCUCAACCUGGGAACGGCAUCCGGAACUGUCAAGCUAGAGUGCAGGAGAGGAAGGUAGAAUUCCCGGUGUAGCGGUGAAAUGCGUAGAGAUCGGGAGGAAUACCAGUGGCGAAGGCGGCCUUCUGGACUGACACUGACACUGAGGUGCGAAAGCGUGGGUAGCAAACAGGAUUAGAUACACCUGUAGUC